Molecule: RNase P RNA, 395 nt
Filed under: Flammeovirgaceae bacterium
Lineage: Bacteria; Pseudomonadati; Bacteroidota; Cytophagia; Cytophagales; Flammeovirgaceae
Description: RNase P RNA component class A
Rfam family: Bacterial RNase P class A
About the family: Ribonuclease P (RNase P) is a ubiquitous endoribonuclease, found in archaea, bacteria and eukarya as well as chloroplasts and mitochondria.
Source: RNAcentral
UGAGCAAGCCGGCUUACCGCCCUGCCUGUGGCAGGGAGGAAAGUCCGGGCAACUUCAGGAAGCAUACCCCGGGAAAGCCGGGGGGUUUGGCGGAAAGCGCCAAAUACAGAUAGUGCCACAGAAAAAAGGUAGCCCUGACGGUUACCGUCAGGGUGAUAGUGAAAAGGCGGGGUAAGAGCCCACCGCCCCGGUGGUGAACAUCGGGGGCACGGAAAACCUUAUGCGUUGAAAGGUCAAAUAAAUCCCGGCUUUGAAUUUCCUGAUUCAACUCCGACUUGCCUCGGAUGCCGGAUGGGUAGACCGAUUGAUCCCGCGCGCAAGAGCGGGACCAGAUAAAUGGUAAGCCAUCCGCAUGUUGCGGAGGACAGAACCCGGCUUACAGGCUUGCGCUAUAA